GACGAACGCUGGCGGCGUGCUUAACACAUGCAAGUCGAACGGAAAGGCCCCUUUGGGGGUACUCGAGUGGCGAACGGGUGAGUAACACGUGAGUAACCUGCCCUUGACUUCGGGAUAACUUCAGGAAACUGGGGCUAAUACCGGAUAGGAAUCCUUGCUGCAUGGUGGGGGUUGGAAAGCUUCGGCGGUUUUGGAUGGACUCGCGGCUUAUCAGCUUGUUGGUGGGGUAGUGGCUUACCAAGGCUUUGACGGGUAGCCGGCCUGGGAGGGCGACCGGCCACAUUGGGACUGAGAGACGGCCCAGACUCCUACGGGAGGCAGCAGUGGGGAAUAUUGCACAAUGGGCGGAAGCCUGAUGCAGCAGCGCCGCGUGCGGGAUGACGGCCUUCGGGUUGUAAACCGCUUUCAGCAGGGGCGAAGCUUGUGGUGACGGUACCUGCAGAAGAAGCACCGGCUAACUACGUG
This 465-nucleotide ribosomal RNA is filed under the name uncultured bacterium. RNAcentral describes it as "partial 16S ribosomal RNA". It matches the Rfam family "Bacterial small subunit ribosomal RNA", at positions 28 to 507 of the family's 1533-position model. The record is from RNAcentral.